This 497-nucleotide ribosomal RNA is filed under the name uncultured bacterium. Its description in RNAcentral is "partial 16S ribosomal RNA". It matches the Rfam family "Bacterial small subunit ribosomal RNA", at positions 28 to 507 of the family's 1533-position model. The record is from RNAcentral.
GAUGAACGCUGGCGGCGUGCCUAAUACAUGCAAGUCGAGCGAACAGAUAAGGAGCUUUCUCCUUUGACGUUAGCGGCGGACGGGUGAGUAACACGUGGGUAACCUACCUAUAAGACUGGGUUAACUUCGGGAAACCGGAGCUAAUACCGGAUAACAUUUGGAACCGCAUGGUUCUAAAGUGAAAGAUGGUUUUGCUAUCACUUAUAGAUGGACCCGCGCCGUAUUAGCUAGUUGGUAAGGUAACGGCUUACCAAGGCGACGAUACGUAGCCGACCUGAGAGGGUGAUCGGCCACACUGGAACUGAGACACGGUCCAGACUCCUACGGGAGGCAGCAGUAGGGAAUCUUCCGCAAUGGGCGAAAGCCUGACGGAGCAACGCCGCGUGAGUGAUGAAGGGUUUCGGCUCGUAAAACUCUGUUAUUAGGGAAGAACAAAUGUGUAAGUAACUGUGCACGUUUUGACGGUACCUAAUCAGAAAGCCACGGCUAACUACGUG